GCGCUCCUCCAGUAGUGCGUAUACUGAAUGGGAAUGGCACAGAUAAGAUUAGCAAGUCCCCUGUGCAAGGGUGACAUGCAAAUUCGUAAAGUGUUCCAUAUUUCU
This is a small nuclear RNA of Jaculus jaculus (lesser Egyptian jerboa), 105 nucleotides long. The record is from Ensembl. Lineage: Eukaryota; Metazoa; Chordata; Mammalia; Rodentia; Dipodidae.